UACGUAGGUGGCAAGCGUUAUCCGGAAUUAUUGGGCGUAAAGAGCGCGCAGGUGGUUGAUUAAGUUUGAUGUGAAAGCCCACGGCUUAACCGUGGAGGGUCAUUGGAAACUGGUCGACUUGAGUGCAGAAGAGGGAAGUGGAAUUCCAUGUGUAGCGGUGAAAUGCGUAGAGAUAUGGAGGAACACCAGUGGCGAAGGCGGCUUCCUGGUCUGUAACUGACACUGAGGCGCGAAAGCGUGGGGAGCAAACAGGAUUAGAUACCCU
RNAcentral lists this ribosomal RNA (265 nucleotides) under uncultured prokaryote. RNAcentral describes it as "partial 16S ribosomal RNA". It matches the Rfam family "Bacterial small subunit ribosomal RNA", at positions 524 to 788 of the family's 1533-position model. The record is from RNAcentral.